AUUCCUCUCGUUAUACAGGUGGGUGCCUAUUUAAACUAAGACAUGAAAAUAUUCCUCUCGUUAUACAGGUGGACGCCUAUUUAAACUAAGACAUGAAAAUAUUCCUCUCGUUAUACAGGUGGGCGCCUAUUUAAACUAAGACAUGAAAAUAUUCCUCUCGUUAUACAGGUGGGCGCCUAUUUAAACUAAGACAUAAAAAUAUUCCUCUCGUUAUACAGGUGGGCGCCUAUUUAAACUAAGACAUAAAAGUAUUCCUCUCGUUAUACAAGUGGGCGCCUAUUUAAACUAAGACAUAAAAAUAUUCCUCUCGUUAUACAGGUGGGAACCUAUUUAAACUAAGACAUGAAAAUAUUCCUCUCGUUAUACAGG
Molecule: long non-coding RNA, 369 nt
Filed under: Nicotiana tabacum (common tobacco)
Lineage: Eukaryota; Viridiplantae; Streptophyta; Magnoliopsida; Solanales; Solanaceae
Description: long non-coding RNA (NTAB_LNC005935)
Source: RNAcentral